GGGCUUAUGGUCUAGGGGUAUGAUUUUCCCUUCGCAUCUUUAAAACGACGCUUGGGAAAGGUCCGGGGUUCAAUUCCCCGUGAGUCCA
This 88-nucleotide transfer RNA is filed under the name Fusarium equiseti. Its description in RNAcentral is "tRNA-Ala". It matches the Rfam family "tRNA". Rfam says of the family: Transfer RNA (tRNA) molecules are approximately 80 nucleotides in length. Their secondary structure includes four short double-helical elements and three loops (D, anti-codon, and T loops). Lineage: Eukaryota; Fungi; Ascomycota; Sordariomycetes; Hypocreales; Nectriaceae. The record is from RNAcentral. RNAcentral also lists the same sequence under 1 other name.